This 305-nucleotide ribosomal RNA is filed under the name uncultured bacterium. RNAcentral describes it as "bacterial SSU rRNA". It matches the Rfam family "Bacterial small subunit ribosomal RNA", at positions 333 to 635 of the family's 1533-position model. The record is from RNAcentral.
UUGUUCCUACGGGGGGCAGCAGUGAGGAAUAUUGGUCAAUGGGCGCGAGCCUGAACCAGCCACGUAGCGUGAAGGAUGACUGCCCUACGGGUUGUAAACUUCUUUUAUAAAGGAAUAAAGUGAGGCACGUGUGCCUUUUUGUAUGUACUUUAUGAAUAAGGAUCGGCUAACUCCGUGCCAGCAGCCGCGGUAAUACGGAGGAUCCGAGCGUUAUCCGGAUUUAUUGGGUUUAAAGGGAGCGUAGAUGGGUUGUUAAGUCAGUUGUGAAAGAUUCCGGCUGAACCGCAAACUUGCAAUUGAUACUG